This 429-nucleotide ribosomal RNA is filed under the name bacterium. RNAcentral describes it as "partial 16S ribosomal RNA". It matches the Rfam family "Bacterial small subunit ribosomal RNA", at positions 355 to 776 of the family's 1533-position model. The record is from RNAcentral.
UAGGGAAUCUUCCACAAUGGACGCAAGUCUGAUGGAGCAACGCCGCGUGAGUGAAGAAGGUUUUCGGAUCGUAAAGCUCUGUUGUUGGUGAAGAAGGAUAGAGGCAGUAAUUGGUCUUUAUUUGACGGUAAUCAACCAGAAAGUCACGGCUAACUACGUGCCAGCAGCCGCGGUAAUACGUAGGUGGCAAGCGUUGUCCGGAUUUAUUGGGCGUAAAGCGAGCGCAGGCGGAAUGAUAAGUCUGAUGUGAAAGCCCACGGCCCAACCGUGGAACUGCAUCGGAAACUGUCAUUCUUGAGUGCAGAAGAGGAGAGUGGAAUUCCAUGUGUGGCGGUGGAAUGCGUAGAUAUAUAGAAACACACCAGUGGCGAAGGCAGCUCUAUGAUCAGAAACAGAAGCUGAGGCUCGAAAGAAUGGGUAGCGAACAGG